CCCUUCGGGGUUAGUGGCGGACGGGUGAGUAACACGUGGGAACGUGCCUUUUGGUUCGGAAUAGCUCCUGGAAACGGGUGGUAAUGCCGAAUGUGCCCUUCGGGGGAAAGAUUUAUCGCCAUUAGAGCGGCCCGCGUCUGAUUAGCUAGUUGGUGAGGUAAAGGCUCACCAAGGCUACGAUCAGUAGCUGGUCUGAGAGGAUGACCAGCCACAUUGGGACUGAGACACGGCCCAAACUCCUACGGGAGGCAGCAGUGGGGAAUCUUGCGCAAUGGGCGAAAGCCUGACGCAGCCAUGCCGCGUGAAUGAUGAAGGUCUUAGGAUUGUAAAAUUCUUUCACCGGGGACGAUAAUGACGGUACCCGGAGAAGAAGCCCCGGCUAACUUCGUGCCAGCAGCCGCGGUAAUACGAAGGGGGCUAGCGUUGCUCGGAAUUACUGGGCGUAAAGGGAGCGUAGGCGGACAUUUAAGUCAGGGGUGAAAUCCCAGAGCUCAACUCUGGAACUGCCUUUGAUACUGGAUGUCUUGAGUGUGAGAGAGGUAUGUGGAACUCCGAGUGUAGAGGUGAAAUUCGUAGAUAUUCGGAAGAACACCAGUGGCGAAGGCGACAUACUGGCUCAUUACUGACGCUGAGGCUCGAAAGCGUGGGGAGCAAACAGGAUUAGAUACCCUGGUAGUCCACGCCGU
This 686-nucleotide ribosomal RNA is filed under the name Brevundimonas sp. B695_3. RNAcentral's name for it is "bacterial SSU rRNA". It matches the Rfam family "Bacterial small subunit ribosomal RNA", at positions 76 to 803 of the family's 1533-position model. Lineage: Bacteria; Pseudomonadati; Pseudomonadota; Alphaproteobacteria; Caulobacterales; Caulobacteraceae. The record is from RNAcentral.